Eriocheir sinensis (Chinese mitten crab) is the source of this 3170-nucleotide long non-coding RNA. RefSeq lists it as uncharacterized. The transcript is spliced from 2 exons. NCBI's taxonomy places the organism in Eukaryota, Metazoa, Arthropoda, Malacostraca, Decapoda, Varunidae. The record is from RefSeq and is a predicted model, not a curated record.
UCUCUCUCUCUCUCUCUCCUUAAUUUCUAUUCUUUUUUAUUUUUUUAUAUUCCAAUUAGUUUUAUUUUCUUCAUACUCCUUUUUAUCUUCCUGUUUUUUUUUGUUUGUUUUGUUUUCUGUCUUUAUUCCUAGCUUCUUCUCUCCUUCCUCUCGUCUAUUCUUCCUUUAUCUUCCUUUAUUCCUUCUCUCCUUGCACUUCCCUCCUCCCUUCCUCCUUCCCUUCUGUUCUUCCUAUUCUUCCUUCCUUCUCUCUUCCUCCCUCUCUCCUGGUUUCUCUGGGUUUUUUAGGUUUGUUUUGGUUGGGUCAGGUCAGGUGUGGUGUCAAUUAGGCUUGGCUCAGAUUACGGUGGCCAGGUAAAGUUAGGUAAGAGUUCUGAUUAGAAGUGAAGUUAGGGGUGCUUGGGUCUGUUCAGGCUUAGAAAAUGGGAAGGGGCGAGAUAAGGAAAAUGGGAGGGGAGGAUGAGAAGGAAAACGGGAAGAAGGAAGAGGAGGAAAAUGGGAAGGAGGGAGAGAAAAAGAAUGGGAAGGAUAGAGGGAAGGAGAAUGGAUAGGAGAGGGAAAGAAGGAGAAUGGGAAGAAGAGAGAGAAGGAGGAUGGGAAGGAGGAAGAGAAUGGGAAGGAGGGGGAGAAGAAGGAGAAUGGGAAGGGAGAGAAGAUGGAGAGUGGGAAUGAAGGAGAUAAGAAGGAGAAUGGGAAAGAAGGAAGAGUGGGAGAAUGGGCAGUAGAGUGAGAAGAAAAACGGGAAGGAGGUAGAGAGGGAGAAUGGGAAGGAGGGAGAUAAAGAGAGGAAGGAAGAUUAAAAGAGGGAGGUAAAGGAAGAGGAGGAGGAGGAGGAGGAGGGAGCUGGUGUGAGAACGGAAGAGAAAGAGAGAGAGAGAUAACAAGGAGUGACAAGCUGGAGAGAGUGAGAGAGGAAAUUAAGUUGACAGGAGAAGAAGAAGAAAAAAAGAGAAGCAGAAGAAGAAGGAAAAGAAGAUUAUGCUUGAGAUUAAUCAUGAGUUCCGUUUCUUUAAGUUACCCCAAGAUAAGAUUAGGUGACGAAUGAAUGAAUGAAUGAAGGUGAGUAAACAGGAUCACGUCACACAGGUAGGUGGGUAGGCAGGUAGGCAGACAGGUAGUAAGACGAGGCAUACGGGAGUCAGCGAGGUCGAAGGUGGGUGGCGACGGCGAUGUUUUAUUCAAGAGCGAAGGUCACCACGCCAAGAAGACUGACUGGAAGCGAAGGAGAGGCCGGACGUGAUGCAAUAAAGAAAAGGGAAGGAGAACGGCUCGAAUACGAAGGAAGAUAGUGCCAAACGAAGAUGGGAGAUGGGAGAAUAGAUAAAAAGAUUGACUAUAAGGGACGGAGAGGCUGAUCGUCAUGCAAUAGAGAAGCAGAAGGAGGAAUGACACGAAUGAGAAAGAGGAAAGUGUCAAACGAAAAUAGGUAUUAGAAUAGAUAAGAAGAAGAAGAAGACUAGAGGCAACGGAGAAGAUGGACGUGAUGAAAUAAAGAAAAAGGAAAGAAUAACACGAAUAUGAAAGAAGAGAAGGACGAACAGAGAAGGAAAAUGAGGUUAGGUGUUAGUUAGGGUAGCGGGCAAAGGGAACGAAGGAGACGAAUGAAGAUAAGAUGGAAUAAGGAAAAAGGGAAGAAAAAUGGCAGGAAACAGAGAAGGAAAAGGAGGUUAGGUGUUAGUUAGGGUAGCUGACAAAGGGCACGAAGGAGACGAAUGAAGGUAAGAUGAAAUAAAGAAAAAGGGAAGAAAAAUUACACGAACACGAAAGGAAAUAAAGGCAAAUGAGAAUGAAAAAUGGCGAUGUUAAGAUAGUUGAUGUAGGGAACGAAAGAGAGAAAUACAAAGAAGAUGGGAACUAACAAAGAGGGAAAGGAUGUUAGGUGUUAGUUAAGAGGUUAUAGGAAACGAAAGAGAGAAAUACAAAGAAGAUAGGGAUUAACGAAGACGGGAAAGGAUGUUAGGUGUUAGUUAAGAGGUUAUAGGAAACGAAAGAGAGAAAUACAAAGAAGAUAGGGAUAAACGAAGAGGGGAAAGGAAGUUAGUUGUUAGUUAAGAGGUUACAGGGAACGAAAGAGAGAAAUACAAAGAAGAUAGGGAUAAACGAAGAAGGGAAAGGAAGUUAGUUGUUAGUUAAGAGGUUACAGGGAACGAAAGAGAGAAAUACAAAGAAGACAGAGAUUAACGAAGAGAGGAAAGGAAGUUAGUUGUUAGUUAAGAGGUUACAGGGAGCGAAAGAGAGAAAUACAAAGAAGAUAGGGAUUAACGAAGAGGGGAAAGGAAGUUAGGCGUUAGUUAAGAGGUUAUAGGGAACGAAAGAGAGAAAUACAAAGAAGAUAGAGAUUAACGAAGAGAGGAAAGGAAGUUAGUUGUUAGUUAAGAGGUUACAGGGAACGAAAGAGAGAAAUACAAAGAAGAUAGGGAUUAACGAAGAGGGGAAAGGAAGUUAGUUGUUAGCUAAGAGGUUAUAGGAAACGAAAUAGAUAAAUACAAACAAAAGUAGAGAAGGGAAAACGAAGAGAAAUGAAGUUGGGUGAUAAUUUAAGAGUUAUAGGAAACGACAGAGAUUACAGAGCGGCAAAGUGAUUAAACUAGGAAAAAACUGGAGAGUAUGAACAUUAUAGGAAAAUGAAGAAAGAAGAAAUGAUGUCCCUACGUGUGAGUAUACAAAACAAGAGGUCGAGAACACCGAAUGGGUAACUAACUUAAUUAUUGUUUUCAUACAUAUAGGCCUACAGAAGAAGGUGGAAGUAGGCAUAAUAUGAAUACACAAAACACACACACCUUAUCAAACCACUGCUAAAUGUCGGAAGUGGAGUAAAAAAAAAAAGGGGUAGAGAGAGAUAAGAGAGAUAAGGAAUGCGAAAGACAGACAGACCGACAGAUAGGCAGACAGACAGACAGGUUAAUAAGUCAGGAAUGCUGUGGUGUAUUGUUACCUGGGCAAGAGAAUACCAUUAAUUAAGGUGAACAAAGGAAGGAGAAAAAAUGAGGAGGAAAAAUAAAAUGAGGGAAAAAUAUAAUGAAAAAAGAAAAAAGGAAAAGGAAAAGAUUAAAAUGAGGAAAAAAGAGAAAAGGAGAGAUUAAUUUUAAGAAGUGUUCGAGAGAGAGAGAGAGAGAGAGAGAGAGAGAGAGAGAGAGAGAGAGAGAGAGAGAGAGAGAGAGAGAGAGAGA